RNAcentral lists this ribosomal RNA (443 nucleotides) under uncultured bacterium. Its description in RNAcentral is "partial 16S ribosomal RNA". It matches the Rfam family "Bacterial small subunit ribosomal RNA", at positions 338 to 795 of the family's 1533-position model. The record is from RNAcentral.
CCUACGGGGAGCAGCAGUGGGGAAUAUUGGGCAAUGGGCGCAAGCCUGACCCAGCAACGCCGCGUGAAGGAAGAAGGCUCUCGGGUUGUAAACUUUUUUUCUGAGGGACGCAGUUAGUUACGGUACUUCAGGAAUAAGCCAUGGCUAACUACGUGCCAGCCGCUGCCGUAAUACGUAGGUGGCAAGUUUUACCCGGAUUUAUUGGGUUUAAAGGGCGUGUAGGCGGGAAAGCAAGUCAGAUGUGAAAACUCAGGGCUCAACCCUGAGCGUGCAUUUGAAACUGUUUUUCUUGAGUGCUGGAGAGGCAAUCGGAAUUCCGUGUGUAGCGGUGAAAUGCAUAGAUAUACGGAGGAACACCAGUGGCGAAGGCGGAUUGCUGGACAGUAACUGACGCUGAGGCGCGAAAGCGUGGGGAGCAAACAGGAUUAGAUACCCCGGUAGUC